This 73-nucleotide transfer RNA is filed under the name Cordylochernes scorpioides. RNAcentral describes it as "tRNA-Thr". It matches the Rfam family "tRNA". Rfam says of the family: Transfer RNA (tRNA) molecules are approximately 80 nucleotides in length. Their secondary structure includes four short double-helical elements and three loops (D, anti-codon, and T loops). The record is from RNAcentral. Lineage: Eukaryota; Metazoa; Arthropoda; Arachnida; Pseudoscorpiones; Chernetidae.
UCCAGGGUAGCCUAGUGGACAUGGCAUCUGCCCGGUAAAUGGAACACUGUGGGUUUGAUUCCCAUCCAUGGAC